UCCUCAUUUCACACGCUCUCUCACCGGUCAGAGUGGUGAGAGAGUUUGACAAAUGAAGAGA
RNAcentral lists this microRNA precursor (61 nucleotides) under Pristionchus pacificus. RNAcentral's name for it is "mir-8364 microRNA precursor family". It matches the Rfam family "mir-8364 microRNA precursor family". Lineage: Eukaryota; Metazoa; Nematoda; Chromadorea; Rhabditida; Neodiplogasteridae. The record is from Rfam by way of RNAcentral.